Molecule: long non-coding RNA, 7122 nt
Organism: Parus major (Great Tit)
Lineage: Eukaryota; Metazoa; Chordata; Aves; Passeriformes; Paridae
Exons: 5
Source: RefSeq, a predicted model, not a curated record
CAAAAUCAAUACACAACUUUCUUGCCAGUUUAUGCUGACUGAUGCCUGGAAGGGACCUCAUUCUGCCAGGGGAACACUGCAGUUUCCCACACGAUGUUAUUAGAUGCUCCCUCAGGCUGUUGCAGUUUUUAUGCCAGUUCUGGAUUUCUGAUUUAUGCAAGACCAUAACAGGGCUGGGAGGCCUGGGCUUAGCCAGUCUUCAGGAAAGACCAGAUAAUUUGUGAUUAUUUAGCAUUUAUGAACUUGUUUUUCUGUGGAAGCUGUUCAGGAGAUGGAUUACUCUAGACUGUGCAACUGAGCAUAGUUUGUGCUAAGGGGAAGAGGAUUUUAAAUCCUCAUAUCUCCAUUUCCAGUCACUGAGGCUGAUUGCAAAGCUGGAAGCUGUAAGGAAUGCCAUGGAAAAGAACAUGGAGUUCUACUGUAUUACCAGAAAGUUUCUGAAGGUAAAAAGUGAUAGGGGUUCACCUUCUCAGAAAACAAGAUUCUGAGAAGGUGACUGCUCCUUGGGAUAGAAUGGACUGAGUACUCAAUUUCUUUUGAUUCAAAACGUACAUAUUUUUUUAUAGGGAGAAUGGUAGGAAAAGCCUGUAAACUUGCUGCUAAGACUGGAUGGAGUGAGAGAAGCCAAUUGAUGGAAAAGAGCUAGAGAAAAUUAAAUAAAGAAAAUUAUGUUGGAUAUUUGGAGAACAAAGCUGCUUCCAAGGGACUACAAUGCUUUAAAAAUGGGGGGAAACAGCAACAACAAAACAAAAUGAAGGAGAAUCACCCACUUGUGCUUGUGUCCCUGCCUCCAACCUGGUGUUAAGAGUACUCACACCACUUCUGCAUAAACAGCUUAUGUAUUUCCACACUGCCUCCUAGAUUCCUCCUUUUCCUUCCUUCCCACUGGUGUCCACUUGCAGACUUUCCUUCUUGUUCAUCUCAGUCUCUCCUAGUUCACCCCAGCUCAUUUUUAUGGUUCCCAUCCAAUCUACUACUUGAAUCUUUUGACUCAAAUGUCAUUUUACUUGGGUCUCUGAAUACUUACAUACAGCUCUUAGCCAUAGCACUUGAGGUUCAGUUGUUGCCUUGCUUAUCUCCCUGCUCCCACUCUUGGACAGAUGCACAUGUAUAUGUGUCCUUAUCUCCCUAAGCCACCUUUCUGUAGAUAAUCCUUGCCUGCAGAUCCCUGGCCUUGCCAGAUCUUCUGCCAAGGCUCUUCGUCUAGCAGGGCUUUCAAAAUCCUGUUUGUGAGCUGUGCUUAACUAAGAUUCACCCACAAGGAGCUGAGAGAGGAGAAAUGCUGGUGUGUUUAUAGAACACCUGUGAUAUCCAGGCAAUGCCUACUUCUAGAUAAAAUACAGAAUAUGGAGUUUUCAAAGGUACUGAGUUCUCCAUAGUGAAGACUCACAAAUGGCUGUCCAAAAUAAAAAAUAAAGAGCAACAGCCACUUGGAAAAAGGUGUUUGUUGUGUGUAUGUACAUACUGCCCGUGCAGCACCUGUUGUGAGUUGUUCCUGCUAUGUACAGCACAUAAACAAAAGGCCCGGUACAGACACACGAGAUUUAGCAAAGCUUGAACUACAGCUUUUCACUCGUAGGCAGCAAGUCUGAGCAAGGAGAAAUCGCAGGCAGCACAGCGAUGUCAGGCAGCAUCUUCAGGAUCAUCGUCCCAGAUUCUGAGGAACAGUGAAGGGGUGUGAGUGAUGAGAGAGGCCAGCGGCCGGGCUUGUUGAAUAUUGCUGAAGCAGGGGAUGAGCUGACCCAGCAUGGAUGUCGAGGACAUUCCCAGGACACCACAUCCCCUCCAGGAAAGAAAAGCAGAUUUACAGCUCCUCUGGGAGACAGAGCAGCCCCGGAGUGCAGACUCUGGCCUCCUGCCAAAGUGAACCCAACGAGAUCAUGAGGGCUAUUCGGCUAAUUCGAGGAUCUAUUUCAGCUGCGCGCCUCAGUGCAGGCUCAAAGCACACUCUGAGAAAGUUUUGUUGAAGGACAGGUUUUAUUUGAACAAGGCAUUGUUUCGAGAACGCAACGCGCGGUAUUUGUGAGGGGAAGAUGGAGGCGGCGCAAGGCUCGCUGGGAGCUGUAGUCCUGCGGCGGGGGCGGGCAGCGGCCUGGCCCCGCGGGGAGGAGGUGUCCGGGACCCCAAAGAGGAGAAUUCCCUGCCUCCAUCAUUCCUGUGCAGCGCGCUGGGAACACCGAGGCUUGGGCUGUCCGGGGAAGAGGGAUGCCCGCGGCCUGCCCACGGUCUGCUCUGUGCGGAGCUUGCACUGCCCCGGUGUGGGUAACCUCAAAUUUACUCCCAUGUCUGCUGGUUCCGGGCUUCUCGCUGUACUUCUACAGGCAAACACAAAGGUGACAGCACCCUAAAGACACACACAGUCUGAUGGGAUGCAAUAUGCAUACUGUUCGUUGCUGUUGUUUGAAUCUACCCUCCUUUUCAUUAUUUCUCGUGGGAUAGAUGUUGGGGUGCCAGGUGUGUAUUUACCUGGCUCGGCCGCAUUGGCGCGGUGCUGAAAGGAAAACACGUCAGCCGAGGGCAGUAGAGACAAGGGGUGUUUCCAUGAGCUCCAGCACCCACGCGGUCAGUGCUUCUUGUAAAUCCCGAGUGACAUUCUUCUUUUUUGCCCCCUUGUUUUUUAGAAGUAAUUAUUACCAGGAAUUUUAGUAUUAGGAUCAUGGAAAUUUCCCCAUUAAUAUUACAGGACACUCUGAGGAAACAAAGGACAUCCACAGUAAGCAGGAGGAGGAGGCAUUUAGAGACAGCUCACAAGAAAGAGACAACAAUCCUUUAAGAUUAUUGUAUUGUAUAAAAAUCUUGCUCUAUUGCAAUGCAGAGAAUACAACUUCAGUGAAUGUCUGCACGUUCAAUGAAGCAAUAACUCGGCUGUCCUUUUUCUGACGUUAAUAAAUUAGCUUAACACCAACAUAAUUCUAUCCUGGGGUCUUUUUUGAGGAAUCCUCAAAAAACUCAAAUGGUGAAUGUUUAAUAAGGGGAACAUACUUCUUCAGCUCUAAACUAUAUAUAGAGACAUACAGAAAUACUAAACUGUUUGCUUAAUUUUAUUAAGGGAAACCCUGCUGCUUAACUAUUUGCUUGAUUUUAUUAAGGCAAACCCUGUUGCUUUCAAAUCUCCUGAAGUUAAUCCCUGGUGUUUACACUCAUUUUGCUGUUUACAUUGGCUUCAUGAACCUUCAGUGUAAACAGAGAAAAAGAAGUAAGGAUUCUUCCCAUGAAACAGCUCAAGAAAGAAAUUCUGACAUCACUUAAAUGAAGCAUGCUUCCUGUUUCAACAUAAUUAAAUUCUGACAUCUUAAAAAUAAAAACAAGGAGAAGAAAAAAACCACCCUAAUUUACUGUAAAGCUACUGAUGGUGAGAUUGUUACCUAUGAAGGACAUUCCUUCUGAUGUUCUUACUUGGGUGUCUGUUUCAAACAGAGAGGUUUGUGCCUGACAGUAUUGUCCAAAUGAUGGUGACCUUAGUGUCACAGGUGGCUUCUGCCAACCCUGUGAAGGUUUCUAGUAGUGCUCAGGAAAAAAAUCACAACAAAAGAAACCUGCUUCUGGUCUCCGCUUGUAGCCUUCAGCUCCUCUGUCUUCCCAUGCACUGGUUGGAGUGCAUGUAAUUUCGUUAUUUGGUGUGCUCUGGACUUCCCAGGAAAGAAUGGUUCAACUAAAGAACACACAGUGCAAUUUAUUUAUUUUGCCAUUUGCAAAUGCAAGUAAACAGAGGUAAUGCACCCUGGAAAGAGGAAGAAGGAAGGCUCCUCAUAUGGUGGGCUCGCCUGUGUUCUUUAGUUGUUUUGCUGGAGGCUGAAAAUUCAGCAAAACACAUGAUUAGCCCAUGUUUGAAAGUCCCUGUUCUGCUGGAAAUAAAGCACAAGCUGAAUUCCAUUCCUAUUCAGCAAAGAGCAUUAACACAUGGUGAAAUAUUAGUAGCUACUUGAGUGUGACAACACUGAAAGUGCCUGCUUUGUCACAUCCCAAGUCAAGAGGUGAACAUCAUCCCUGUUUAUGUACAUGGUUUCUCCAGGGACCCUCUUGGGCUCCAGAGGGCAGAAAACCAAACUUGAGGGUGAUGCCCCAACUCUAGGGGUGCCAGGACAUUAAUGGACAAGUUAAUGUCCUAAUUAAAUCAAUCACAAGUAGUUUACCCCUUCAACCAAGCUAUAUUUGGUAGAUACCAUACUAUGACGGGGGGAAAGGGGAAUUACAGUCAGUAUACAGCCAGUAGCCCAAGGCCAGGCUGAAACUUGUCAAAAACAGCAAACCCAAGGCUGGAGAAAAUGUGAAAAAUUUUAAUGAUGAUCUCCUUGACAGCCAACUAGGGAAAAAUAAAUAGAUGAGAUAUCUUGGAAUCAGCCAGCAAGACUAUAAUAAGUGUUAUGCUUAUUUUCCUUGCAUGUGUCAGUUAUGACUAAAGGAGGCUGGCAAACCAGAGGGCUUCAAGUCCCAGAGGAGCCCUCUGUUCUUGGGGUGCCCAGCAUCUGUGCUCAGUGGUCCUGGGGAGGGCUGUGGGUAUAGUCUUCAUCAAGCAUCAGACAAGGGUUGUUUUGGGAGUUCAUGACAAAGCCUGCAAAGCCAGGAGAGCUGGUGCUGGCUGAAAUCUUCUUGGUGGGCAGUGGGCACUGAGAUGAGUCUUGGGGUCUUCUCAGGUUGUGCAUAAUGUAAGAAGAGAGCUGAGAAAGGCUGAAUAAGCUAUCAAGUGAUCACUCUAACAGCCUAGAAGAUUGUUCUUGCCAGUACUGAUACUGCAAAGACAGGAUAUUGGGAUUAUAAAGAAGCUACUUGAAGCAGCUCAUUUUUAUCCAAUAUUAAUACAGUAUUUGGCAUCCAAAGUGUACUUUGCACUUAGAUUUCUGUGUAAACUAAAUCACAUUACAUUAAGCUGUUGUUUUUUAUAUUUCUACUUUAUUUAUUGAAGGCAAUUGUUUAUAUCAGACUACUCAUGCAAUGUCCAAACUUCUUUGGAUCAUGUAUACAAUGUAACAAUAGCCUUGGCUACUGAAAGUGGCAUAGAUUUAUAUUUCAUACAUAUCUGAGGAUACCAAGGACUAGAAAACAGUUUCUGAGGAAGUUUUAAAUAUCUUUUGAAAAAGAAACACAAGAAAACUGAUUUAUGCCUGUAGAGGAUCAUAUAGACAGAGCAUAAAAUGUUAAGAAAGGUAUGUUCUAUAUAUAGAACGUGAACUUAAAAAUUAAAACUGAAAGACAUUUUACUGAUUGAGUUCCAGAAAAACUAACAGACGUGAAAAGACAUGGUUAUUUAAAGGCUGAAAAAGGAACUCAAAUACUCUUAGAUUCUGACUAUGUUUCAGUGUAAACAAAUGCAGUCCUUACUCUACAGUAAUGUAACCUGUCAUUCCCAAUGCUAAACAGAGUCUGAGGAAAGGAAAACACUUCAUUUGAUUGUUUUAUGGCCAUCUCCCACACUUUAACGAUGUCUUGAAGUGAAAUCUAAGUGUGGGCAAGCUACGAAAGAAUAUAGAGACUCUUUCCAACUUAAGAGACACUAUGCAUUGUUAUAGUUUACUUCCAGGGAGGGACUGAAGCCCAUUCAUCUCCUCACAGACCAGUUGAGGGUACUGCACUCUCUACAUCACCCUGCUGGGGAUGCUGCCACUGACUGUGGGCACUGAGGCACUCCCACCAACUGGCCCCUUCUUAUGCAGGGAAACAAGGCCUGAUGGAUAACUACAGCUUUCUCCUCACUUUUCUGGGACUUCUUUGUGGCACUGUUUUUUUAACUCAUGCAGUAGUUAGUUUUCCUCAUUUCAGGAAAGCUCUGUGUACUCUUGGCAUGAAAAUGCCUUCACUCCAGCUUGGCAUUUCCUGGCCAUAGCUCGGGUGCCAGGUGUCAAUGGUGUUCUGCUCUGAGUUUAUGCAGGCAAUUUCAGGGUAAAGGCCCAGCACUAAAAUCAUUACCAAAUUACAUUUUAUUUGUUAAAUGUUUACUGCCAACAGCUUAUAGCUUUUCUGGAAACAGAUGAGUAUGUUUUCCACCCUAUUAUGAAAAUAAAUCUCCUCUCUUCCUCAGGAUGCAUUUUCUAUUUAAUCAAAAUUAAGUAUCUGAGAGACUUGCUGUGGUUAAAUCACUGCCUAUAUUUCCUUUAGUAGUUAUCUCAAAUGAGUUUGGGAAGAUAAUAAAACUUUCUGCAACACACUGAUUAGUCCUCUUAAUUAAUAGGGCUGAAUAGAGCCAAAAGUAUAAAAAGUAUUCCAGAAUAUUUACCAUGAGCCAGGCAUGGUUCUGUGUUGUUUCCAGUGUCAUUUAAGCAUGCUGUUAUAUUUCCAGGAUUUUGGAUUGGUUUUUUAAUGAUGUUACAGUACAGCAUUUUCCAAAUAGAUUAUUUUUGGUGCAAAUAAUUUGCAAAGGCAUCCUUGAUUCUUGUGAAGGCACAUGCACACAUUCUUCCUGAUAUUUGGCUUCUAUUGAAGAGCCAUGUAAGGGAAUGAACAGCACUUCAUAUUUUAACAACAGGGAAACACUCUUCUAGGAUGUGCCCUUUUCAUAUUUUCAGGUGCAAAGUGUGCCUCUGGUACUACUGAGAGCCUCUGGGCCUCUGGUACAUAAACCUCUUGAGAGGCCCAGCUGCAGAGAUUGCACAAAUAUGUUAAAGCAGCACUCUUUAGAUCCCACCACGCAGAACACUUCUUGUUUAAUGUUUCCAGCUGAGGGUGGAAAGAUAUUCUUCCAGCCUGGAAUGAUCUCUGGGGUAUUAGCUAAGCAUUGCCAGGUUUAUGGCCAAAUUGAAAUGUGGAAAUCAUGGAUUAAUGUCCCUUUUGUGCAACUUCUCAGCUAAUUACUUAAUUCUAAGCACAUCAGGGGUUUCUUUGACCACGUGUGUGUGUUUUCUUACACUUCAGCUAUGUGACUGUGCUUGUAAGAUUGAAAUUUUGUUUGAAACAGUUUGUUUUGUUAUGUGCUCAGGCUGUGGUUUGACAUGAUUAUUUAGAGUGUUUCAUACCCUAUCUAAUAGACACAAAUUGCAAGGUUCUGGGCAAACUCACUCUGCUGGUUCAUACUGGUUAAAAAAAUGUAUGUAGGAGGUAUGUCCUGUCCUUGUAGACUUACAGGGGCUGUUUGAAUUCUUAUUAUAUAAGCUAUAUGUAAUAUGUUACAUAAAGUAUUGUAACACUUUC